GUUGAGGUGGCAGAGUCCGGCAAUUGCAUAAAACUUAAACCUUUACACCCAGAGGUUCAAAUCCUCUCCUCAACA
RNAcentral lists this transfer RNA (75 nucleotides) under Berardius bairdii (Baird's beaked whale). Its description in RNAcentral is "transfer RNA-Leu (UUR)". It matches the Rfam family "tRNA". Rfam says of the family: Transfer RNA (tRNA) molecules are approximately 80 nucleotides in length. The record is from RNAcentral. Lineage: Eukaryota; Metazoa; Chordata; Mammalia; Artiodactyla; Ziphiidae.